Molecule: ribosomal RNA, 467 nt
Filed under: uncultured bacterium
Lineage: Bacteria
Description: partial 16S ribosomal RNA
Rfam family: Bacterial small subunit ribosomal RNA
Source: RNAcentral
GACGAACGCUGGCGGCGUGCUUAACACAUUCAAGUCGAACGGAAAGGCCCUGCUUUUGUGGGGUGCUCGAGUGGCGAACGGGUGAGUAACACGUGAGUAACCUGCCCUUGACUUUGGGAUAACUUCAGGAAACUUGGGCUAAUACCGGGUAGGAGCUCCUGCUGCAUGGUGGGGGUUGGAAAGUUUCGGCGGUUGGGGAUGGACUCGCGGCUUAUCAGCUUGUUGGUGGGGUAGUGGCUUACCAAGGCUUUGACGGGUAGCCGGCCUGAGAGGGUGACCGGCCACAUUGGGACUGAGAUACGGCCCAGACUCCUACGGGAGGCAGCAGUGGGGAAUAUUGCACAAUGGGCGGAAGCCGGAUGCAGCAACGCCGCGUGCGGGAUGACGGCCUUCGGGUGGUAAACCGCUUUCGCCUGUGACGAAGCGUGAGUGACGGUAAUGGGUAAAGAAGCACCGGCUAACUACGU